AAAAUUUAUGUUUUUUCAAUGAGUGACCAUAAUUUGUGUUUUAUGAUCCAUUUUGGCUAUUCCAAAAUUUUACUCAUAAAUAAAUAAGGCGUCAGUGAGCAGUUUGCACUUUUUCUUUUGCACUACUGAAAUCAUCAUCUAAAAAAAAAAUCAAAGAAAUCAUAUGCUAAAAAACCAAACCAAAGAAAUCACUACACUUUCUACACUCGUCCAACCCAACUCAACUCAACUUUUUAAUAAAAUAUUCAUUUCUCUUUCAUCCACCGACACAACUCACAACCUAAUACUCCAUCCGUCCCGCUAAAAGCGACCAC
RNAcentral lists this long non-coding RNA (314 nucleotides) under Salvia miltiorrhiza (redroot sage). RNAcentral describes it as "long non-coding RNA (SMIL_LNC009590)". Lineage: Eukaryota; Viridiplantae; Streptophyta; Magnoliopsida; Lamiales; Lamiaceae. The record is from RNAcentral.